AGUACUAAACCUUAGCCGUCUCUACGCUACGCACUCCUUAUCUCUAAAUUACGCUCUAUUCUGUUCUUUAUGGAAGGCAAGCCAUGUCCGAGACUCUGUUUUUACCCUACCUCAGCCCCACGUGUGUAGUAUAUGGGUCACGUGCGAACACUUCUUUAAAGAAAUAGCUUCCCAUAACAUCGAGCAAGGUAGGUGUUCCAUGGUUGCGUUAAAUCCCCAAGUUAUUUAUAUAAAAUAGAAUGGGUAACUUAUGCAAACAUUUUUAUAGCUUUUUGCAUUUAGAAAAAUGUCUCACCUCACAUUUAUGCCCAAAUUUUUAAGAAUGUUUCCAGUAUUCCGAUUUUAUACUUUUUACAUACAUCGGAUUGAGC
This 371-nucleotide long non-coding RNA is filed under the name Amborella trichopoda. Its description in RNAcentral is "long non-coding RNA (ATRI_LNC000279)". Lineage: Eukaryota; Viridiplantae; Streptophyta; Magnoliopsida; Amborellales; Amborellaceae. The record is from RNAcentral.